CCCAAGUUGGGCCUCUGCGCGUUCCUCGAGCCAUCGUUCUUCCAGCGAAGAGCGGCGGUUAAGCCGGGCUGCUGUCAUCGCUCUUUCACCCCCGCCCAGCCUAGUGGAGCCGAGAUGUCUAUUGUGGCAGCUCCUAAAUAAUCUUCACGGCAUCGGAAGAGUGGCCUCCAGGUGCUCCCAGCUCAGGGAACCACUUCCAAAGUUGAACAGCCGACCAGAGACUUCUCUCCACAGAACCACCGCGGUAGCUUUCCUCUGUUCUCUGCUGGAGUGAGCUGCAGAAGCAAACGAACAUCGCUGCAGUGCCAGAGUCCAGAAGGACUCAGCUUGAUAACAGAACAGUUCUUUGGCAUACUAACUACAGUGCCAGCCACUCGGAGUGAGCCGUCAGCCGAUAUGGCUGAAUAAGCUAGAAUCUUCUUGGAUCUUUUCUCUGGCCCAUCCGUCCCGUAAUGCAGCCACUCGAGCAGGAUCCAUCUACACGAAUUGGGAAAGAAGGCCUGUUAAGGAGGAAACCAGUCUUCAGUGCAUCUUGCCAAGAUGGUGAAUUGAAAAUGAAAUCGACGCUUCAGCCCGAUGACCCUGUGUUUGAUGAAGCUCGCUCCCUUUGUGUUCCGUAGAGACUGUGAAGAGCCCCGGCGUCACUGCCGCAGUAGGGAAUCACCAGGAAAUAGUUAAAAAUGGGAUAAGGCCAACUGGAACUUUCUCCAUCUUUUGAAUCUCACUUAAGAGGAUUAAUGAGCCGGAGAUGGAAGCUUUUGUUGUAGGAACAGAGGCCACCACUAUUCCUGAAACCCUCCUACAAAGAUCUUUCUCUUCAGCCGUUGGAAAUUGUGCGGCCCCCGAACCUAAGGCACGUGACU
Tachyglossus aculeatus (Australian echidna) is the source of this 863-nucleotide long non-coding RNA. RefSeq lists it as uncharacterized. The transcript has 6 exons. The record is from RefSeq and is a predicted model, not a curated record. NCBI's taxonomy places the organism in Eukaryota, Metazoa, Chordata, Mammalia, Monotremata, Tachyglossidae.